This 669-nucleotide long non-coding RNA is filed under the name Oreochromis niloticus (Nile tilapia). Its description in RNAcentral is "lncRNA (ENSONIG00000039805.1)". The record is from RNAcentral. Lineage: Eukaryota; Metazoa; Chordata; Actinopteri; Cichliformes; Cichlidae.
AUGUUUUUGGUGGCAGGAAGAAUAAUGGGACAUUCAUUCAUUCAUGGUGGACCGUGUGUGUCUGGUAUAAGUCCUGCAAUCAUCCAUGUCCUUUUUGGGGGCUCACCUGAAACAGCUACAGUUCAGAAUGAGGAUUGCCCUGAUAUUGAUAUCCGCAGCACUAUUCAGCUGCUUGAUGGCACUGCUGAAUUAACAGAACUGGAACGAAGAAAUGUUCUCGAGCUAGCCCUGGCUUGGGACCUGCCAGGUGUCACACAAACCAAUAGAAAGUGGCUGUAUGAACGUCUGCUAUUCCACGCUGUCAUAACACGAACAAGUCGUCAAGUCAAGCAGCUGAGGAAAGGGCUUAAGGAGACCAUGGUAUGGCCGCUUCUGGCAGAAAGAUCAGACAUCAUUCCUCUUUUCUUACCAAGGGAAUCAGAGACGGCUCCCUGUUGUGAGUCUAUUCUAGAAAGGAUAGUGUGGCCUGCCACAGAAGAUGAAGCUGAGGAGGAAGAGGAAUGCUCUCUUGAGGAUAAAUGCAGAGUGGCAGGUUACCUUCGGUCCUUCAUUGAAAAUGGUAAGUCUGCUGCUAUCGGUAUUUUGCUAUUGGUUUUCUCUGAUUAUACUUUGGUAAAUUACAUACAGUCCAGUGAUCUCGGGUCAUUAACAAAGUACACCAUAGUAUAA